This 468-nucleotide ribosomal RNA is filed under the name uncultured bacterium. RNAcentral's name for it is "partial 16S ribosomal RNA". It matches the Rfam family "Bacterial small subunit ribosomal RNA", at positions 28 to 507 of the family's 1533-position model. The record is from RNAcentral.
GACGAACGCUGGCGGCGUGCUUAACACAUGCAAGUCGAACGGAAAGGCCCUGCUUUUGUGGGGUGCUCGAGUGGCGAACGGGUGAGUAACACGUGAGUAACCUGCCCUUGACUUUGGGAUAACUUCAGGAAACUGGGGCUAAUACCGGAUAGGAGCUCCUGCUGCAUGGUGGGGGUUGGAAAGUUUCGGCGGUUGGGGAUGGACUCGCGGCUUAUCAGCUUGUUGGUGGGGUAGUGGCUUACCAAGGCUUUGACGGGUAGCCGGCCUGAGAGGGUGACCGGCCACAUUGGGACUGAGAUACGGCCCAGACUCCUACGGGAGGCAGAAGUGGGGAAUAUUGCACAAUGGGCGGAAGCCUGAUGCAGCAACGCCGCGUGCGGGAUGACGGUCUUCGGGUUGUAAACCGCUUUCGCCUGUGACGAAGCGUGAGUGACGGUAAUGGGUAAAGAAGCACCGGCUAACUACGUG